UACGUAGGGUGCAAGCGUUAUCCGGAUUCACUGGGGUUAAAGGGUGCGUAGGUGGGCAAGUAAGUCAGUGGUGAAAUCUCCGGGCUUAACCCGGAAACUGCCAUUGAUACUAUUUGUCUUGAAUACUGUGGAGGUCAGCGGAAUAUGUCAUGUAGCGGUGAAAUGCUUAGAUAUGACAUAGAACACCAAUUGCGAAGGCAGCUGGCUACACAAAUAUUGACACUGAGGCACGAAAGCGUGGGGAUCAAACAGG
This 253-nucleotide ribosomal RNA is filed under the name uncultured bacterium. RNAcentral's name for it is "partial 16S ribosomal RNA". It matches the Rfam family "Bacterial small subunit ribosomal RNA", at positions 524 to 776 of the family's 1533-position model. The record is from RNAcentral.